This 45-nucleotide transfer RNA is filed under the name Plestiodon multivirgatus. Its description in RNAcentral is "partial tRNA-Gln". The record is from RNAcentral. Lineage: Eukaryota; Metazoa; Chordata; Lepidosauria; Squamata; Scincidae.
GGGGGUUUUGAGCUCCUUAGUGCAGGUUCGGGUCCUGUCUUUCUA